GAGACUAAACAAGGGUAAACUUUUAACAGUACAGAAUACGCCAUCAUUUCAUUGCCUUGAUUCUAACUGUUUGUGUCCUAAGAUGCAAAAGAGGUCAGUGGCUUUUAACUGUUUACAAUAGGAUGUGAUUGUAAAUGUACAGUUUGGUUGUGUUUGAAUUAUGAAAUCUUCAAAUAAUAAACCAUGACUUUUUGGCUGCUCAACAUUAAUUGUCUCUUUUUUGUGGAUUUAUUUGUAGGCUCUUUUAUAAUGAAAGUUACAAAGUUGCUGCAUGUGAGAGUUCUUCUCAUAGAGCGGCAGAUUAAAAAUCUAAGCAAAUAUUUGAACAUUUUACCUGAACUUGUCCACAAUCACCCUGAGAUAAUGUGAGAACAGUGGGAACUGUAGCUUGCUCCUCCUCCCCUGAGCAUCUGUGGGAGCUUGUUGUUGCCCAAAGCUCUUCUCUGGCUUCACCUUCCCCACCAUCUGUGCCCAUCUCAAGCCUCAGCGGGACCAUUGGGACACGAAGCUGACUGCCGUGACAGCGUCCUAGUGUUAACCUCUCAUACCUCACACAGUGGGGAUGCCACCACCUGGACUGGCCUCUCUUCCCUGUGCCCUUCGCCCCUCCUCACUGAAGGAGCUCUGGGCACAGAACCUGUAUGACUUCAAAUCACGCUCCACUUGCCAGGUGUAAGCUAAUGUUGGACACCGUAACCUAAGCAAAUGUUUAAUGCAUUCGGUGUGUGUUGAUGUCCAUACUGGUUUUUCCAAAAACCAAAGGUAGCUUUGAAAAACCAUGUGUGGAGAUGUUUGGACCGUUAAGCUGAGUGACCGUUUGGGGCUUUGAGUAGUAUAUAUCUGACUUCAUGACUUCGUUAAUUGUAUUGUUAAAAGUGUUUGGGAGUUUUUUUGCGCUUGUUAUGUGGAAAUAAAGUGUUUGAUUU
This 926-nucleotide long non-coding RNA is filed under the name Mus musculus (house mouse). Its description in RNAcentral is "long non-coding RNA chr7:123194362-123195288". The record is from RNAcentral. Lineage: Eukaryota; Metazoa; Chordata; Mammalia; Rodentia; Muridae.